GCACCGCAAUCAUUGGCAGCGAUGUCCCGCGCUCGUAACGCGGCGAGGCCGGUGCAACUCCGGCGCGGUGCUCCA
This 75-nucleotide transfer RNA is filed under the name Actomonas lomoniglobus. Its description in RNAcentral is "Opitutaceae bacterium LMO-M01 tRNA-Thr". Lineage: Bacteria; Pseudomonadati; Verrucomicrobiota; Opitutia; Opitutales; Opitutaceae. The record is from RNAcentral.